RNAcentral lists this long non-coding RNA (747 nucleotides) under Gossypium barbadense (sea-island cotton). Its description in RNAcentral is "long non-coding RNA (GBAR_LNC013276)". The record is from RNAcentral. Lineage: Eukaryota; Viridiplantae; Streptophyta; Magnoliopsida; Malvales; Malvaceae.
UUGAUGAUGAUGUCAUCACUGGAACGAAACUGAUGUAGUGGAAGCCUUUGAAUGCAAUGUCUGGACAAGCCUUUUGCUCCAUUUACAUCAUAAAUGUCUGAGAUUUCUCUAUAUGUUGGUUCAACUGAGUUACUACUUACUUGCCAUUGGUAAGCUUUCAACACUGCUGGACUCACCCAUUCAAUGAACACCUUCCCAUUUACUAAGCUAACUAAUAAAGCUACCUAUAAAAAUAAUAAUAUUUAAUGCUUUGUUAAAAACGAAUAUGGUAGUGGUCUGGAAAUUAUUUCUCAUCCCAACUUGAAUUAGCAAAAUCCUACCAUAUAGGUAUAUACCUUUGAUAAUGACUCCCCAUCCACCAAUGAUUCCAGUAACUGAACGGCUGUGAUUGCACCUGCAACUGCACCAAUUCCAGCUCCUCUCAAAAACCCAGUUUCUGUUGUUUGUCCUUUCAUUGCUCCAACUACUGUUCCCACCAUAGAUCCUCCUUUAGAAACCAAACAAAUAUACGUUGAGUCUCAAAGAAAACAUGUAUAUAUAAUAUAUAUCUAUAUAUGUAUAUGUAUAAUUUGUAUAUAUACCUAAUGCAAAAGUGCAGGUAGAAGCAGCAAAGAAAGUUCUUUUGAACACACUAAUGAAGAAGCCAAUUGGAAGAUGUUUCAUUGCAGCAAAAACCCAGUCUCCACACCUAAAUGGCACCUCAGUUAUGCAUGAAAACCACUCCAUUAACAUUGGCAAAAAAAAAAA